This 565-nucleotide ribosomal RNA is filed under the name Hepatozoon sp. F4. Its description in RNAcentral is "bacterial SSU rRNA". It matches the Rfam family "Eukaryotic small subunit ribosomal RNA", at positions 454 to 1009 of the family's 1831-position model. Lineage: Eukaryota; Apicomplexa; Hepatozoidae. The record is from RNAcentral.
ACAGCAUAAGAGAGGUAGUGACAAGAAAUAACAGUACAAGGCAGUUAAAAUGCUUUGUAAUUGGAAUGAUAGAAAUUUAAAUACUUUUUAAAGUAUCAAUUGGAGGGCAAGUCUGGUGCCAGCAGCCGCGGUAAUUCCAGCUCCAAUAGCGUAUAUUAAAAUUGUUGCAGUUAAAAAGCUCGUAGUUGAAUUUCUGCUAGAAAUAACCGGUUUGCUUUUAUUAAUAAAAGUGGUAUCUUGGUGUGUUUAUAGCAAUAAUGUUCUUUGAAAUGUUUUUUACUUUAUUGUAAAAAGCAAAAUUCAGGAUUUUUACUUUGAGAAAAUUAGAGUGUUUCAAGCAGGCUAACGUUUUGAAUACUGCAGCAUGGAAUAAUAAAAUAGGAUUUUAGUUCUACGUUAUUGGUUUUAAGAACUAAAUUAAUGAUUGAUAGGGGCAGUUGGGGGCAUUUGUAUUUAACUGUCAGAGGUGAAAUUCUUAGAUUUGUUAAAGACACACUACUGCGAAAGCAUUUGCCAAAGAUGUUUUCAUUAAUCAAGAACGAAAGUUAGGGGAUCGAAGACGAUC